CGCACGGGUGAGUAAUACAUCGGAACGUGUCUUCUAGUGGGGGAUAACUGCCCGAAAGGGCAGCUAAUACCGCAUGAGACCUGAGGGUGAAAGCGGGGGAUCGCAAGACCUCGCGCUGGAAGAGCGGCCGAUGUCCGAUUAGCUAGUUGGUGAGGUAACGGCCCACCAAGGCGACGAUCGGUAGCCGGACUGAGAGGUUGAACGGCCACAUUGGGACUGAGACACGGCCCAG
RNAcentral lists this ribosomal RNA (232 nucleotides) under uncultured bacterium. Its description in RNAcentral is "partial 16S ribosomal RNA". It matches the Rfam family "Bacterial small subunit ribosomal RNA", at positions 99 to 334 of the family's 1533-position model. The record is from RNAcentral.